UACGUAGGGGGCAAGCGUUGUCCGGAAUUAUUGGGCGUAAAGCGCGCGCAGGCGGUCUCUUAAGUCUGAUGUGAAAGCCCACGGCUCAACCGUGGAGGGUCAUUGGAAACUGGGGGACUUGAGUGUUGGAGAGGAAAGUGGAAUUCCACGUGUAGCGGUGAAAUGCGUAGAUAUGUGGAGGAACACCAGUGGCGAAGGCGACUUUCUGGCCAACAACUGACGCUGAGGCGCGAAAGCGUGGGGAGCAAACAGG
This 253-nucleotide ribosomal RNA is filed under the name uncultured bacterium. RNAcentral describes it as "partial 16S ribosomal RNA". It matches the Rfam family "Bacterial small subunit ribosomal RNA", at positions 524 to 776 of the family's 1533-position model. The record is from RNAcentral.